This 199-nucleotide long non-coding RNA is filed under the name Elaeis guineensis (African oil palm). RNAcentral describes it as "long non-coding RNA (EGUI_LNC041625)". The record is from RNAcentral. Lineage: Eukaryota; Viridiplantae; Streptophyta; Magnoliopsida; Arecales; Arecaceae.
UCCCCUCUAAAUGAAAUUUCAUCCUCAAAAUUUUUCUUGCUUGAGUCUUUAUAGUUUCUUACUUGAAUCUCAUCCACAAAUAUUCUAAUUCUUGAUAUAAAUUCAUUCUUAAAUCAUUUCAUAAGAAAAAUUGGUACAUCAAAUAUCUAUCUGAAACGGAACCAUUCAUUUUCUUAUUUAUCAAGAUCCACGUCUCAAA